ACUCCGUAACCCGCCUCCUACAAACACCAGAUACCAGAGCCAGUCGACUGUGCCGCAUAAUACUGCAUGAAUCCAAAUUUAAAACUGAAUCCAAAGAGAGGAUUUAUUUGAUCAGGAUCUAGCGAAUUGUGCCCCCAACUAGUACUAGCAAAAGUAAUCACGUUAAGUGAUCGUACCAUGCUUGUGCCAUACCGCCAAGAACUCAGUGUCAAGAGGAAGAGGCGGAGUCAACUGGAAGCAUACAAUUCCCAGCGUUCCAAGUCAGACGUUUUCUUUACUUUAUGAUAGGACAGUAGCAGCCAAUCCAGUACUUUUGUGUUUCUAAGUUACACCCCUAUCAAGUGAAUGCUUAUUUAUGUUGGUAUUUUAGGUUUGCGGCAAGCGAUAGGUGCAGCCUGGGACCCGGUCCAUGCCAAUUGGAGGAAUCCAGAGGGAGAGCCACCAUGAGCUGUGACACCGCUCAAAACAGGGAGCUGGGUGUUGGUUCGUGACCUGAACAGGAAGAGAUGGAACACGCCGAGAUGGAGGGGACCACAUCAGAUCUUAAUGGUGACCCCUCAUGCAGUGAAAGUGGAGGGAGGUGAUGGAUGCCAAUGCUGUGGACUCUGAUUAUUUGUGAAUGGCACAGAUAUCACGUGUUUAAAAGGGGGGAGUGUGGUAGUAAAAUUGGACAUUGGUAGGUCCGGGAGGGAGGCAUAUUGGGUUUAUUAUGUCUUUAGCCUUAGGCAAGAAGAGAUUGUUUUGAAUACUGUGUGACCUGGCUUCGUGAUAGCUCCGAUAGUUCUGCAGACCCUGAAGAAAGCUCGGACCUUGGAGAGGCAGACAGCGGGACAAAAAGGGGGGAGAAACCACCUGCAGGAAGAGAUUUGAAGCUGCCCAAACUGGUGCACAGCGAGUUAUAGCUUUAUAAAAUAGUUGCAGCAGACAAUAUAGUAUGUUACGUGGGAGUGCAAAAGUACAAGUAAUCAUGUUAAUCAUACUAGUCAUAUGUUAACUACGUAUUUGCAGUGAUUCAAUGACGUCAAUGUGUUAAUCAUUAAUCACUGGAACACCCAAACAUUAAUAGUGAUUCAAUAUCAUAUGAUCAAUAUCUACAUACAUAUCUCAAGUAGAGUUUAGAAGCUGAGACAGAUUCCGAUAAAUUGAGCAAGAUGGGUGGAUUUUACCUUGCUACCAAGGUGAACCAAUAGAGCAGGAGAAUUGUGUUUGUUAUAUGUUUGAGCUCAGUUUGUUGGUGUUUUGUGACCAAUCAGGACUUAGAAGUCCGUAUUGGGAAUUGGGAGUUAUGGUUUAUCAACUGGUUGCUCUGUGUGCUCCGUGUGACUUGGUACCAAGUGCCAGAGUGUGAUGAGAGCGCUUUGCUGGAUUGCUGGAAUAAAAG
Long non-coding RNA from Brienomyrus brachyistius, 1381 nucleotides. RefSeq lists it as uncharacterized. The record is from RefSeq and is a predicted model, not a curated record. The transcript is spliced from 3 exons. Lineage: Eukaryota; Metazoa; Chordata; Actinopteri; Osteoglossiformes; Mormyridae.